GGAAUUAGCUAGUCCUGUGAGGGCAGUCUCUCAAGGAUCAAGGCCCCAGAUGCCAGAGCAUCAAGAAUAUGGAAAAUCAGAGAACAUGAUCAAUAUACCAGCUCAUCCCUGGAUGAAGCUCCCUGCCUUUCCUCAUACAGACAAAAAAGUGCAAUCCUCAAUUUUCCGGCCUACCUUGUAGCUGGGAGCUAUAAAAUGAAGUUCAUCAGGCAUGAGCGGUCUGCUGGUACUGCUUCUUCCCGCUUCCCCUUCUUCUUGCUUUGGGAUGGGAUGCGAUGUUUGCUGCUGUAACAGCCAUUUGCAGCCAUAAGGAAAAGGCCAAAUGAAUUGCAGUGGUGUCCAUUGAACCAAUUCUGUAUUUUUCUGGACUUCUUGUUUUGUGAGAAAAAUAAACUGCUAUUUAAACCACUGUA
Molecule: long non-coding RNA, 413 nt
Filed under: Homo sapiens (human)
Lineage: Eukaryota; Metazoa; Chordata; Mammalia; Primates; Hominidae
Description: non-protein coding lnc-PROK1-2:4
Source: RNAcentral